This is a long non-coding RNA of Tribolium castaneum (red flour beetle), 4060 nucleotides long. RefSeq lists it as uncharacterized. The transcript has 3 exons. NCBI's taxonomy places the organism in Eukaryota, Metazoa, Arthropoda, Insecta, Coleoptera, Tenebrionidae. The record is from RefSeq and is a predicted model, not a curated record.
UUGUGUACUCGGUUGUGUACAAAAUUUCAAAAUCCUAGCUAUAUGUGAAGUUCCUAACGUAACUUUUUAAAAGAGUUAUCAUUCCGUAUACAGGUUGUUCUGUCUAUACCCCUCAUUCGGAGUACUUACACUACUUACUGUGAGUUCUAAUAAAAAUAUUAAUCUGCAAAUUUGUACACAGCUAUAUCCGUUCGAAGUUUCAAACAAAAUGUUUUCAAGGUGGCGACACUUCCGGUGAUACCGGAAGUCGGUACUGACUUUGUUAUUUUAAGUAGAAAGCAACUGUUUUUACUGAAUUUUUUAAGUGGCAAAAUUUUUAUUUACAGGGGUUUAUUCAAAACAUGACAGCUUUUGAACCAUUUGCAAAAGUGAAUAAUUUUUUUUUUUGGUUUUGAUAACCAAAGAUUUGGAGAAUCUUCUAAAGUAUUUCAAUGUUGUCAAUUAUUGAUACAUCCGAAGGCUAGUAUAAUUUUUUUAAAAUGAUGAUCAACAAAUAUUUGGUUAUUUUUCUCCACAGUCAUGAGUUAAUCUAAAAUACGGCAAAAUACAAUUUGAUAUACGUACAAAUUUUUGGAAAAAAGUGGCACUGACAGAGUAUAUGUCGUUUGAGUCGAAAACAGCUGCAUUAGAAGUUGAAAAGUUUGUAAAGUAAGCCCUAAAAAAAUUGAGUUUAUUGAAGAGAAACAGUUUCUAAAAAGUUCUUUAAAGAUACGCCUACGUACUAAAUGAACGAGAACUUUUCGAGAUACAAUCUAAACUAAAAACACUCUCUUGCAGGAAACUUUCCCAUUUUAAUUUUUUUCUAUUACCUACUACUCGUAUCGUAACAUGUGUCAUUUUUGAGAUAUUGGCAAAAAAUUCUUUAAACUUCUAUAUCCUAUCAUAUAUUCUACAACUUGUUCGUCUGCACUAAUAGCGAAAAAUAGAAAUGCGUUUUAAUUUUUUAGUUGAAGAAUGGAAACUUCGUGAAAUAGGUACACCUGCAAAGCGAAAUUGAAUUUCCCGUAGAUUUUAAGCAAUUUUCCUUAAUUUCCUGUUUUUAUCGUCCGAAUUGGUGCUUGAGGAGUAUCCAAUCGAACAGAAAAUUCCAUUUAAAAAUUUGUGAUUUUAAUUAAAAUUAGCGAAGCUUUCCGAGAGUUUGCCGUUUAAUUAUUACUGCUUUAUCGAUUGAGUCUGAAGCUUUGUAUAUUUCAUACGAAAUUUCUAGCGCACGCUAUCUUAUUUAUAAUAUUUAAUGGAUGUAAACAAAGUUUAUGGAUACAUUGUCUGCGAACAUUAAAGCGACAGCGCAUUUAAAUUGCCGCAAAAACUGCAGUCAAAUGAUAAGAUAGCGUCAAAGAUAUUUUUUCUGCCUUUAAAUAACCUUUCUUGCUUGAAACAUGGAACGGUUCUAAUUUUGGACGUAGCAGGUCUUUCAACUUUCGAUUUCAGUCUAGUCUAAACUACCCUUUUGCUUGUCAAGUUAAUCUCCGAGUUAAAUAAUUCAUGUUGAUUUUCACAAUUAUUAAAAUUUUCUGUGUAAAGGUGGGUUUCAGACGAAGCCAUUAAUGUUAUGAGCCCAUUUACUUAUUGCUUAUUAAUGUGACAACAAAGAGCUUGACACCCAUUGUACUGAGGAGAUUGUCGUGGGUGGUCGAAAUUGGAAUGAAAUCUUUUCAGAUUUGUAUUAAAUUGAAAAUUUAAUUAUAGCGACAUAAUACAAAGGCCGUUUUGUAAGAAAUUCCCUUUAAGAAAAUGCUAUUUGAACAGAAUAGGAUUUUAUACGGGUUGAGCUGUUGAGUUGUUUUGUAUUCAGAUCUAAAAUUCGCUACAGAUCUUGCUGAAAUUCAAGUAUUUGUCCUUUCACCUGUUCGAAUAAGAAUAGAUUCGAGGAGUUUUUUGGAUUACAUGUGAAAUAUACAUCUAUCAUGUUUGAUCCACAAAUAUUUAUGAGUUUUUUCACUCGAACAGAAUGAGUUAUAUGUCGGUAGAAGCUUUAUUAAAAUCUGUUCAAACUUUUCUAUUUAUUUUUACAAUUUCUGCUUCAUUAGCGUUUUUACGUGCAUACUCUGAAAUUAAAACUUAUUUUUAUCGUAGCUUUAAUUUUGCAGCAUCCGAGAAUUUUACAAAGAUAAAGUGUUUUAAUGAAUUUUAGAGCAGUUUUGGAGAACGUAUAAAUAAAAUAUUGGAUGAUUAAAAUUUUAUCAUUUCUGGCGACUUCGUUCGGUUAGGGCUAACUGAUACUGGAAAGACAUUUGUGACGGUAACUUCUCGGCCGGAAAAGCUUUUUAAUCUAAUUAUUAUUUAUGGAGAGAAUUGAUUUGUCUCAUCAAAAGCCACAUUAUAUUAAAAUAUAUUAAACAAAAUUUAAACCGUUUCUAGAAAUAAAUACUGUAUACAUUGAAACACAGUUCUUGCAAAAACAAAUUACUUUAAAAGCAGAGAUGUGAAAUGUGAGUAAAGUAAAUUUUUAUUUUUUGUAUUAUUAACUAUAAUCUUAAUUAAAUUAAUUUCAUAUUCAUUUAUUCGGGAAGUCCUAUAAAUCGCUGAGCAAUAAUUAAUUUAUAAACAUUACUGGGCUACAGCCACAGGUGGAGCAGAAAAGCGGAAAAGUGUUGGUACUCGAAGAUAAAGCAAAGUAAGAAUAAAGGUUGGGAAGCAAUAUAUAACAUGCUUAGAAAGAGAUAAAAAGAGAGUGGAACAAGAGUAAAAAUGCAAUGUAUUCAAAAUAAAAAGGGUUCAUGAAACCUUUAAUCAUGCCAGGCGAAAAACAACAAAAGGGGUUUAUUGGCCAGAAAAACUAUUUAAUACAAGAAGUGUGAUUAAAUAAAAAAAAACGAAAAAAAUUGCAGUUACAAGAAAAAAGAUACAAAGUGGAAGACAUGGAGGAAGUAUUGUUCAUGCAAAAAUUAAAUGUUGGGGAAAGAAAAAAAAACAAGUCAAGAAACAGUUGAAAGUCAAUGACGCAACAAGUAGUAAAACAGAAAAGAUGAACACAUUAAAAGGAGACGCUUAAAGAUGUCCACAAGAAAAAAACGAAUAACCUUAUUGAUUAAUACUUUAAUCAAAAAUUUAAGGAAAAGUUUUUUUUAUUAAGAAGAUAGUAUAUUACAUAAGAAGUCAAGAAAGUGGAACUUUACACGACGAGGCGGUUAUUUGAACAUACGGGGCCGAUAGGUCGAGUACUUUACGAGUAAUAACCGAGAUAUUGUAAACGUACUGGAAACUGAAAACUCAGUUAGUGAAGAAAUUUUCACCUGUGAAAACUUUUUUAGAGAAAAAAUAUAUGUAUUAGUCUUCAAUAAAUAUUUUUUUGUAAAUCUGAAGGCAAAUGAAUAAAACCCUACCUACAAAAAAAAGUUACUUAUAAGAAUUUAUAAGAAGUUAUUUUUUAUAUUGUUAAUAACUUUUAAAUAAAACAGUACAAAAUACAAAGCAGUUUUCUGUAUCUCAAAACCUCGAAAACGCAGUUAAUACUCUUGGCAAACGGUACUUCGACUUAAGAAGGUUAUUUGCAUUUUUUGUGUUUAAUAGUAAUGUUAUGUUGUUUUUAUCCAUGUUUUUUCAUAUAUUACAAUAUUGCGGAUUAUUAUUUUCACUUAGGGUGGUUUGCACCGUCUUGGAUUAAAAUCUCCGUUUAACUAGUCGGCGUUUAGCAAAUCUCGGAUUUAAAUUCAUAUCUCCUUUGCACGACGGCCGUUUAGUAAAUCGUCAAUUAAUCGUCGAUGCCAUUUGGCAACAUGGUAAAUUUAUUCGAUUUAACAUGUAUUGUGGCAGCAAUUGAAAGGACUGAAAGUGAGAAGUGAAAUGGCUUCACUCGAAUUACACAUUUUUUAGUUAAUAACUGCAAUAGUUUGGAUGUGUUUUGCAUGCUUUUUCUUUCCUUGAAUGGAGCAAGAACAAGUGCGACCUUCCAAUUUUGCCACGGAAGAAAAUUACUGAAAAGUCUGGUACACAGAAUAAUUGGAGCUCAAGAAGAAUACAACUUCAAUUGAACUUCAUCACCUGAUGGAGUUUUAUCAAAAGAAUACGACGAGUUGUCGGAAAUAAAAAUAACACAUCAAAAAAGAACCAUAAAUUG